This 449-nucleotide ribosomal RNA is filed under the name uncultured bacterium. RNAcentral describes it as "partial 16S ribosomal RNA". It matches the Rfam family "Bacterial small subunit ribosomal RNA", at positions 338 to 795 of the family's 1533-position model. The record is from RNAcentral.
CCUACGGGGGGCAGCAGUGGGGAAUUUUGGACAAUGGGCGCAAGCCUGAUCCAGCAAUGCCGCGUGCAGGAUGAAGGCCUUCGGGUUGUAAACUGCUUUUGUACGGAACGAAACAGCUCUUUCUAAUACAGAGGGCGAAUGACGGUACCGUAAGAAUAAGCACCGGCUAACUACGUGCCAGCAGCCGCGGUAAUACGUAGGGUGCGAGCGUUAAUCGGAAUUACUGGGCGGGUGACGUAAGCAAGAUGUGAAAUCCCCGGGCUCAACCUGGGACCUGCAUUUGUGACUGCAUCGCUGGAGUACGGCAGAGGGGGAUGGAAUUCCGCGUGUAGCAGUGAAAUGCGUAGAUAUGCGGAGGAACACCGAUGGCGAAGGCAAUCCCCUGGGCCUGUACUGACGCUCAUGCACGAAAGCGUGGGGAGCAAACAGGAUUAGAUACCCGUGUAGUC